CGCCCGCAACCAAUGUACAUGCCCUUGACCUGAAUCGAACCUGGGACCUUUCAGUCCGCAGGCCGACGCUCUAUCCACUGAGCCAAACCGGUUUUUAAACAUAAGGCUUAACACCAACUUUAAAAUGAUGUUUAGUUCAAAGUUCUGGAUGAAAUUCUUUUUAAGACCAUUCCAAGGAAUGGAAAUGCCUUUCCAGAGGCACUCAAGUUCUGAAUAGGGCUUGAUUGGUGCAUGGCGGAAGGACACUCCUCUGACAGCACUCAGGAGAAAACUGGCAACCUGAGCAGCCUCACUAAUGGGUUUUUCCACGGGCUAUCCCAGCGUGACCAUGGAGUGCUUCAUGCAGACCCUUAAGAGCUAAGCUCAGGCUUCUUUGCCUUUUAAGAUUCUUUAGGAUUAACUGCAUUCUCUGACACAUGCCCAUGAAAAGUCCAGGGACAGGGGAGCUAGAAACUGUGAAACUUGUGUUUCCAUUUAGGAAGGGGUAAUACGGAGGCCCUAAAGGAAAAGCUUGAAGGGCUUGAAGAGAAUGCUUUGUUUUCUCAUAACAAAUGUUGCUUAUUCAUAAGGUAAUGGAUGGUGCAAGCCUUUUGUUCCUGCCCCUGUCCUCCUUUUGACCAAUCUUCUGUCCACUGGCACUUCCAGCUGCGCAAGGAUUAACAGUAACCGACGUGGAUCUCACUGACAGAGAUUCUUGUUCAUGGGCCUCAUAGAAAGGGGGAGGGGAAAGGUGAAGGUUGGAAUUGAUUGUGAACUUCAAUUAUAAUAACUAUUCCUGUCCCCCAAUGCCUUAGGUAGUUGUUAUAGCAUGUCAGCAGUCUGUUCUAAAAACUGAAGCUCUUACCCACUGGAAGGUUCUUAGUUUUAACGUGGCCACAUAUGAAGAACACAGUUACCGCUCUUCUCUCUGAACCUCAUGUUCUCAAACAGUUUUUCUCUAGCUGUGGACUGGGAAAUGAGUUUGGUGGACCACAACUGGCAUUUUUAUUAAAUAGAAUAUGAUAGGCGUAAAACAUCAGCAUGCAUCACAUUUAAUACUGUUUUCUGAAACUCCCAUUUCAGUUGUAUGUGUCUUUUUUAUGUUCCUGGGUGUUUUUUACUUUGAGCUAAUGGUCAGAAAUGUUUUAAAAAGCACUAGUUUAGCCCAUUGUAACAUCAUCUAUAGCAGUAUUAGAAAGCUUGGUGUUGCUUGAUAUUUUUCAUUUUGAUUUAAAUGUGUUUGGCCUAAGUCUCUUUAGUAACCAAAACAUUACAAUUUGAUUUCAUUUCUGUCCUUUUCAAUUCUCCUAAAUUAACAGGAACCAGUUUAGGAGAAAAUGUCAAAGGAUCCUAGUGGUCUUUUAUGUUAAAGCAAUAUUGAGGAGAAAAUGAAUACCAAACUAGAAUUAAAGCAAUUUUAAUUUUUAUGACAUAGAAAAACUGUCAGAAAUCUCCCUUUAAUUGCAUACUUUUAUAACUUAAUGAUAGUUGGCUAUAAAGUUAAUUUCUCCAAAGCAGUUAUUUUCAUAUUACUCAAAAAGGGGGACAGCCCUAGCCAGUUUGGCUCAGUGGAUAGAGUGUUGGCCUGCAGAUUGAAGGGUCCCAGGUGUGAUUCUGGUCAAAGGUACAUGCCUAGG
Long non-coding RNA from Pipistrellus kuhlii (Kuhl's pipistrelle), 1616 nucleotides. RefSeq lists it as uncharacterized. The transcript has 3 exons. Lineage: Eukaryota; Metazoa; Chordata; Mammalia; Chiroptera; Vespertilionidae. The record is from RefSeq and is a predicted model, not a curated record.